This 30-nucleotide non-coding RNA is filed under the name Mus musculus (house mouse). The record is from RNAcentral. Lineage: Eukaryota; Metazoa; Chordata; Mammalia; Rodentia; Muridae.
UCUAUUUGUGCACAGUAGAAUGUCUGUCUG